CGGAGAGGCGGCACAUGGUGCCUCGAUCGUCGAUGGCGAGGCUGUUUUUGUCAAUGAACCGACUGCUUGCGACCCACCUCCGUCGCUUGUCCGGGGGAAAAUUGUG
This 106-nucleotide ribosomal RNA is filed under the name Pseudopedinella elastica. RNAcentral describes it as "partial Archaeal large subunit ribosomal RNA". Lineage: Eukaryota; Dictyochophyceae; Pedinellales. The record is from RNAcentral.